GUGCAUCACCAUGAACGGCUCAGUAAAUGAAUUUGAAGAAAAUAAGAUGAAAUAUUACAGAUUUAACAAGUUAUAAUUUAUUCAUCUCAAAAUAAUACUACUACAUGUCUUCCUAGAAGAUUUCCAGAAUUUCAUUACAA
Molecule: long non-coding RNA, 140 nt
Organism: Acyrthosiphon pisum (pea aphid)
Lineage: Eukaryota; Metazoa; Arthropoda; Insecta; Hemiptera; Aphididae
Exons: 2
Source: RefSeq, a predicted model, not a curated record